UUGCCCAUUUAAGACCUUCAGUGUCCUAAAUGAUCAACACAGGGGGGAAGAAUAACUCUCUCAAAAACCUGAGGUGAAGGUUACUGAUUCCUAGCCUCGGAUCCUGUCGGGAGAAACACAA
Small nucleolar RNA from Chanos chanos (milkfish), 121 nucleotides. RefSeq annotates it as small nucleolar RNA SNORA26. The transcript has a single exon. The record is from RefSeq and is a predicted model, not a curated record. Lineage: Eukaryota; Metazoa; Chordata; Actinopteri; Gonorynchiformes; Chanidae.